GACCUACGGGGCGCAGCAGUGAGGAAUAUUGGUCAAUGGACGAGAGUCUGAACCAGCCAAGUAGCGUGAAGGAUGACUGCCCUAUGGGUUGUAAACUUCUUUUAUAUGGGAAUAAAGUUUUCCACGUGUGGAAUUUUGUAUGUACCAUAUGAAUAAGGAUCGGCUAACUCCGUGCCAGCAGCCGCGGUAAUACGGAGGAUCCGAGCGUUAUCCGGAUUUAUUGGGUUUAAAGGGAGCGUAGGGGGAUUGUUAAGUCAGUUGUGAACGUUUGCGGCGAAACCGUAAACUUGCAGUUGAAACUGGCG
RNAcentral lists this ribosomal RNA (305 nucleotides) under uncultured bacterium. RNAcentral's name for it is "bacterial SSU rRNA". It matches the Rfam family "Bacterial small subunit ribosomal RNA", at positions 335 to 638 of the family's 1533-position model. The record is from RNAcentral.